UAGAGUUUGAUCAUGGCUCAGAUUGAACGCUGGCGGCAGGCCUAACACAUGCAAGUCGAGCGGAAACGACACUAACAAUCCUUCGGGUGCGUUAAUGGGCGUCGAGCGGCGGACGGGUGAGUAAUGCCUAGGAAAUUGCCUUGAUGUGGGGGACAACCAUUGGAAACGAUGGCUAAUACCGCAUAAUGCCUACGGGCCAAAGAGGGGGACCUUCGGGCCUCUCGCGUCAAGAUAUGCCUAGGUGGGAUUAGCUAGUUGGUGAGGUAAUGGCUCACCAAGGCGACGAUCCCUAGCUGGUCUGAGAGGAUGAUCAGCCACACUGGAACUGAGACACGGUCCAGACUCCUACGGGAGGCAGCAGUGGGGAAUAUUGCACAAUGGGCGAAAGCCUGAUGCAGCCAUGCCGCGUGUAUGAAGAAGGCCUUCGGGUUGUAAAGUACUUUCAGUUGUGAGGAAGGGGGUAAGCUUAAUACGCUUACCUCUUGACGUUAGCAACAGAAGAAGCACCGGCUAACUCCGUGCCAGCAGCCGCGGUAAUACGGAGGGUGCGAGCGUUAAUCGGAAUUACUGGGCGUAAAGCGCAUGCAGGUGGUUCAUUAAGUCAGAUGUGAAAGCCCGGGGCUCAACCUCGGAACUGCAUUUGAAACUGGUGAACUAGAGUGCUGUAGAGGGGGGUAGAAUUUCA
This 685-nucleotide ribosomal RNA is filed under the name uncultured Vibrionaceae bacterium. RNAcentral's name for it is "bacterial SSU rRNA". It matches the Rfam family "Bacterial small subunit ribosomal RNA", at positions 1 to 671 of the family's 1533-position model. The record is from RNAcentral. Lineage: Bacteria; Pseudomonadati; Pseudomonadota; Gammaproteobacteria; Vibrionales; Vibrionaceae.